RNAcentral lists this long non-coding RNA (1458 nucleotides) under Oncorhynchus kisutch (coho salmon). RNAcentral describes it as "lncRNA (ENSOKIG00005039187.1)". Lineage: Eukaryota; Metazoa; Chordata; Actinopteri; Salmoniformes; Salmonidae. The record is from RNAcentral.
AUUGCACUGUCUCAAAGAGAGGGAGGCAUUUCACUGUCUCACAGAGAGGGAGGCAUUUCACUGUCUCACAGAGAGGGAGGCAUUUCACUGUCUCAAAGAGAGGGAGGCAUUUCACUGUCUCACAGAGAGGGAGGCAUUUCACUGUCUCAAAGAGAGGGAGGCAUUUCACUGUCUCACAGAGAGGGAGGCAUUUCACUGUCUCACAGAGAGGGAGGCAUUUCACUGUCUCACAGAGAGGGAGGCAUUUCACUGUCUCACAGAGAGGGAGGCAUUUCACUGUCUCACAGAGAGGGAGGCAUUUCACUGUCUCAAAGAGAGGGAGGCAUUUCACUGUCUCAAAGAGAGGGAGGCAUUUCACUGUCUCAAAGAGAGGGAGGCAUUUCACUGUCUCACAGAGAGGGAGGCAUUUCACUGUCUCAAAGAGAGGGAGGCAUUUCACUGUCUCACAGAGAGGGAGGCAUUUCACUGUCUCACAGAGAGGGAGGCAUUUCACUGUCUCACAGAGAGGGAGGCAUUUCACUGUCUCACAGAGAGGGAGGCAUUUCACUGUCUCACAGAGAGGGAGGCAUUUCACUGUCUCAAAGAGAGGGAGGCAUUUCACUGUCUCAAAGAGAGGGAGGCAUUUCACUGUCUCAAAGAGAGGGAGGCAUUUCACUGUCUCACAGAGAGGGAGGCAUUUCACUGUCUCACAGAGAGGGAGGCAUUUCACUGUCUCACAGAGAGGGAGGCAUUUCACUGUCUCACAGAGAGGGAGGCAUUUCACUGUCUCACAGAGAGGGAGGCAUUUCACUGUCUCACAGAGAGGGAGGCAUUUCACUGUCUCAAAGAGAGGGAGGCAUUUCACUGUCUCACAGAGAGGGAGGCAUUUCACUGUCUCACAGAGAGGGAGGCAUUUCACUGUCUCACAGAGAGGGAGGCAUUUCACUGUCUCACAGAGAGGGAGGCAUUUCACUGUCUCACAGAGAGGGAGGCAUUUCACUGUCUCAAAGAGAGGGAGGCAUUUCACUGUCUCAAAGAGAGGGAGGCAUUUCACUGUCUCAAAGAGAGGGAGGCAUUUCACUGUCUCAAAGAGAGGGAGGCAUUUCACUGUCUCAAAGAGAGGGAGGCAUUUCACUGUCUCAAAGAGAGGGAGGCAUUUCACUGUCUCAAAGAGAGGGAGGCAUUUCACUGUCUCAAAGAGAGGGAGGCAUUUCACUGUCUCAAAGAGAGGGAGGCAUUUCACUGUCUCAAAGAGAGGGAGGCAUUUCACUGUCUCAAAGAGAGGGAGGCAUUUCACUGUCUCAAAGAAAGGGAAGCAUUUCAAAAUAUCAGAAUGAAUUACUGCUGACUGCAUUGAUUCAAUUAAUUAGGCUGGCGGCUGUUGGGGAGAAGGCUGUUUAUGCUGCCAGACAGUGGUUUCUACCAGCCCAGUCGUGUCCAGUCCAGCAGUGGCUUGAGGGACCAGACCAAGCGGACUGA